Molecule: ribosomal RNA, 433 nt
Filed under: uncultured bacterium
Lineage: Bacteria
Description: partial 16S ribosomal RNA
Rfam family: Bacterial small subunit ribosomal RNA
Source: RNAcentral
AAUGAACGCUGGCGGCAGGCCUAACACAUGCAAGUCGAGCGAGCAUUUCGGUGCUAGCGGCGGACGGGUGAGUAACGCGUGGGAACGUGCCCUUUUCUGCGGAAUAGUCCUGGGAAACUGGGGGUAAUACCGCAUACGCCCUUUUGGGGAAAGAUUUAUCGGAGAAGGAUCGGCCCGCGUUGGAUUAGGUAGUUGGUGGGGUAAUGGCCCCCCAAGCCGACGAUCCAUAGCUGGUUUGAGAGGAUGAUCAGCCACACUGGGACUGAGACACGGCCCAGACUCCUACGGGAGGCAGCAGUGGGGAAUCUUAGACAAUGGGGGCAACCCUGAUCGCGCCAUGCCGCGUGAGUGAUGAAGGCCUUAGGGUUGUAAAGCUCUUUCAGCUGGGAAGAUAAUGACGGUACCAGCAGAAGAAGCCCCGGCUAACUCCGUG